GCGAUGGUCGGGCACGUGGCCGUGGUAAGACGGACCGGGCAAACGUUGUUCGGAAUCAUUGGGCUUAAAGGGCGCGUAGGCGGGCGGUCAAGGCUGUGGUGAAAUCCGUCGGCUCAACCGGAGAAUAGCUGGGGAUACUGGCCGUCUCGAGGGGGGUAGGGGCAUGUGGAACUUCCGGUGGAGCGGUGAAAUGCGUAGAUAUCGGAAGGAACGCCGGUGGCGAAAGCGACGUGCUGGACCCUUUCUGACGCUGAGGCGCGAAAGCCAGGGGAGCAAACGGGAUUAGAUACCCUUGUAGUC
Molecule: ribosomal RNA, 300 nt
Filed under: uncultured Aquifex sp.
Lineage: Bacteria; Pseudomonadati; Aquificota; Aquificia; Aquificales; Aquificaceae
Description: bacterial SSU rRNA
Rfam family: Bacterial small subunit ribosomal RNA
Source: RNAcentral